GACGAACGCUGGCGGCGUGCUUAACACAUGCAAGUCGAACGGAAACGCCUCUUUCGGGUGUUCCUCGAGUGGCGCACGGGUGAGUAACACAUGAGUAACCCGCCCUUGACUUUUGGGUAACUUCAGGAGAAUGGGGCUAUAACCCGAUAGAUGAUCCUGCACCGUGGUGGGGGUUGGGGAGUUUCGGCGGGUGGGGGUGUGCCCGCGGCGCAUCAGCUUGUGGGUGGGGGAGUGGCUUACCAAGGCGUUGGCGGGUAGCCGGGCUGGGGGGGUGAACGGCCACAUUGGGACCGAGGGAAGGCCCAGACUUCCAAGGGAGGCAAGAGGGGGGAAGAUUGGACAAUGGGUGGAAGGCUGGUGCAGCAGAGCCGUGGGCGGGAUGACGGCCUUUGGGGUGUAAAACGCCUUCGCGCAUGAAGGAGGCUUGUGUGACGGUAGUGGGUGAAGAAGCACCGGCUAACUACGUG
Molecule: ribosomal RNA, 467 nt
Filed under: uncultured bacterium
Lineage: Bacteria
Description: partial 16S ribosomal RNA
Rfam family: Bacterial small subunit ribosomal RNA
Source: RNAcentral